UGGGUUGUAGCUCAGUGGUAGUGCACUUGCCUCACAUGUGUGAGGCACUGGGUUCAAUCCUCAGCACCACAU
This 72-nucleotide transfer RNA is filed under the name Ictidomys tridecemlineatus (thirteen-lined ground squirrel). RNAcentral describes it as "Spermophilus tridecemlineatus (thirteen-lined ground squirrel) tRNA". It matches the Rfam family "tRNA". Rfam says of the family: Transfer RNA (tRNA) molecules are approximately 80 nucleotides in length. Lineage: Eukaryota; Metazoa; Chordata; Mammalia; Rodentia; Sciuridae. The record is from Rfam by way of RNAcentral.